RNAcentral lists this microRNA precursor (111 nucleotides) under Medicago truncatula (barrel medic). RNAcentral describes it as "MIR5284 microRNA precursor family". It matches the Rfam family "MIR5284 microRNA precursor family". The record is from Rfam by way of RNAcentral. Lineage: Eukaryota; Viridiplantae; Streptophyta; Magnoliopsida; Fabales; Fabaceae.
CUGUAAUUUCAGAUCACUCCACUUUUGAUCCCUCAUUUUACGUGCUAUGUAUGCAGAUUCUGCUGAUGUGGUGAAAUGAAGGACCAAAAGUGAAAGAAUCUGAAAUUACAG